CUAAUUUCUUGUAGCACAACCGCACCUUGACAAUUACACAAUCUACACUCAUAGACACAGCACACACUUGUAUAUGGCAGGAAACUUGGCCUCCAUGAGAUUGCCAAAGCUGCGAUCAUGGCAAAGGUGUUCAAGGAUGGUCCGAGAGCAGAGAACGCGUCUGUACAUCAUUUGGAGGUGUACAGUGAUUCUCCUACGCUGGGAUGAGUGAAUUUUUUAUAGUGAAAACCAGUGUUGCUAGCGAGGUCUCAGUCUUGAGAACUUGGUUUGAUCCUUUUUGUUUUGUGGCAAAGGUUUAAUGGUCAGUAAAGCAGCUGAUCUUGUGUAAUUAGCAGCUGAUUAUCUUGUGUAGUCAUCAGGGUUUCAACUUGAUGAUAAGUCCAAGGAUGAAUUAGGAUGGAGAUAAGAAAUGGGUUAAUGAGAUCGUGUGUGUUGUAUUUGAUAAAUUUUAUAUUUUUUUAAAUAGUAUUUUAGUUAAAAUUUAGACAAGUACGGAAAUAUAUUGUAAAUUAGGAAAUUGUUAGAAGUGGGACGAUGAUGGUUUAAUAUGAGUAAUAAUAAAGGAAGGGAUUUCAUCAGAUGAAAAGGUAUUAUAUUGAAAAUUGUCAUGGAUUUUGGGUUAAUAAUAUUGGG
RNAcentral lists this long non-coding RNA (633 nucleotides) under Populus tremula. RNAcentral's name for it is "long non-coding RNA (PTRE_LNC002838)". Lineage: Eukaryota; Viridiplantae; Streptophyta; Magnoliopsida; Malpighiales; Salicaceae. The record is from RNAcentral.